Molecule: transfer RNA, 89 nt
Filed under: Patescibacteria group bacterium
Lineage: Bacteria
Description: tRNA-Ser
Rfam family: tRNA
About the family: Transfer RNA (tRNA) molecules are approximately 80 nucleotides in length. Their secondary structure includes four short double-helical elements and three loops (D, anti-codon, and T loops).
Source: RNAcentral
GGAGAGGUGCCGGAGCGGUCGAACGGAGCGGAUUGCUAAUCCGCGACUCUUUAUGGGUCUCGUGGGUUCGAAUCCCACCCUCUCCGCAA